UCAGUUCGCGCCAAGCUGCGCUGGGGAGAGGGUGUUUGUGGAGAAUCCGGAGCCCAGGAGCUGCUGUGUUUAAAAUGUUCUUGUUUUGAACAGGAAUAAAAUUAUCCUGAAUCCUGAUUCCGGUGUGGUUCUGACUUCCUGUUACCAACC
Molecule: long non-coding RNA, 150 nt
Organism: Poecilia latipinna (sailfin molly)
Lineage: Eukaryota; Metazoa; Chordata; Actinopteri; Cyprinodontiformes; Poeciliidae
Exons: 2
Source: RefSeq, a predicted model, not a curated record